AGCUCCAAUAGCGUAUGUUAAAGUUGUUGCAGUUAAAAAGCUCGUAGUUCGAUGUUGUGGUCUUGUUGUGUUGGGUCGGCUUGACAAAAGUCAGUCGACGUCCUCACAUGCAACGAUCAACGAAAGUGAUUGUACGUGUCUGUUCUUGAUUGAGCAACACACAAGUGCAUAAUUGCUCAUUUACUGUGAGAAAAUUAGAGUGUUCAAAACAAGCAACUCGCUUGAAUAUGUUAGCAUGGGAUAAUAAGAUACGACUUUCGUGCGUAUUUUGUUGGUGUAUUACCGUUGAAAGUAAUGAUUGAUAGGACUAGUUGGGGGUGCUCGUAUUUGAUGGCCAGAGGUGAAAUUCAUGGAUUCUUCAAAGACGAACUUAUGCGAAAGCAUUCACCAAGGAUGGUUUCUUUG
RNAcentral lists this ribosomal RNA (405 nucleotides) under Maullinia sp. RNAcentral describes it as "partial small subunit ribosomal RNA". It matches the Rfam family "Eukaryotic small subunit ribosomal RNA", at positions 587 to 975 of the family's 1831-position model. The record is from RNAcentral. Lineage: Eukaryota; Endomyxa; Phytomyxea; Phagomyxida; Phagomyxidae.